AGCUCUCCGAGUGGUAGGGAUGUUUAUUGGGCUUGAAGCGUCCGUAGCUGGCCUGGCAAGUCUUCCGUUAAAUCCAACGAUUCAAUCGUUGGACUGCGGGAGGUACUGUUGGGCUAGGGGGCGGAAGAGGCCGACGGUAUUCUCGGGGUAGGGGUAAAAUCCUAUAAUCCCGGGAAGACCACCAGUGGCGAAGGCGGUCGGCUAGAACGUGCUCGACGGUGAGGGACGAAAGCUGGGGGAGCGAACCGGAUUAGAUACCCGAGUAGUCC
This 269-nucleotide ribosomal RNA is filed under the name uncultured archaeon. RNAcentral describes it as "partial 16S ribosomal RNA". It matches the Rfam family "Archaeal small subunit ribosomal RNA", at positions 478 to 747 of the family's 1478-position model. The record is from RNAcentral.